AAAACAUUCGGACCGUCGUAUCAGCAAGCAAUUUAAUUCGCUCGGUGGAAGAUCUUCGCAUUGUCGU
Molecule: microRNA precursor, 67 nt
Filed under: Bombyx mori (domestic silkworm)
Lineage: Eukaryota; Metazoa; Arthropoda; Insecta; Lepidoptera; Bombycidae
Description: mir-2774 microRNA precursor family
Rfam family: mir-2774 microRNA precursor family
Source: Rfam by way of RNAcentral